RNAcentral lists this ribosomal RNA (253 nucleotides) under uncultured bacterium. Its description in RNAcentral is "partial 16S ribosomal RNA". It matches the Rfam family "Bacterial small subunit ribosomal RNA", at positions 524 to 776 of the family's 1533-position model. The record is from RNAcentral.
UACGUAGGGUGCGAGCGUUGUCCGGAAUUAUUGGGCGUAAAGGGCUCGUAGGCGGUUUGUCACGUCAGGAGUGAAAACUCGGGGCUCAACCCCGAGCCUGCUUCUGAUACGGGCAGACUAGAGGUAUGCAGGGGAGAACGGAAUUCCUGGUGUAGCGGUGAAAUGCGCAGAUAUCGGGAGGAACACCUGUGGCGAAAGCGGCUCACUGGACCACAACUGACGCUGAGGCGCGAAAGCUAGGGGAGCAAACAGG